GGGGAUUUAGCUCAGUGGUAGAGUGCUUGCCUAGCAAGCACAAGGCCCUGGGUUCCGUCCCCAGCUCCG
RNAcentral lists this transfer RNA (69 nucleotides) under Rattus norvegicus (Norway rat). It matches the Rfam family "tRNA". Rfam says of the family: Transfer RNA (tRNA) molecules are approximately 80 nucleotides in length. Their secondary structure includes four short double-helical elements and three loops (D, anti-codon, and T loops). Further hydrogen bonds mediate the characteristic L-shaped molecular structure. tRNAs have two regions of fundamental functional importance: the anti-codon, which is responsible for specific mRNA codon recognition, and the 3' end, to which the tRNAs corresponding amino acid is attached (by aminoacyl-tRNA synthetases). tRNAs cope with the degeneracy of the genetic code in two manners: having more than one tRNA (with a specific anti-codon) for a particular amino acid; and 'wobble' base-pairing, i.e. permitting non-standard base-pairing at the 3rd anti-codon position. Lineage: Eukaryota; Metazoa; Chordata; Mammalia; Rodentia; Muridae. The record is from Rfam by way of RNAcentral.